GAUGAACGCUGGCGGCGUGCCUAAUACAUGCAAGUCGAGCGAACGGACGAGAAGCUUGCUUCUCUGAUGUUAGCGGCGGACGGGUGAGUAACACGUGGAUAACCUACCUAUAAGACUGGGAUAACUUCGGGAAACCGGAGCUAAUACCGGAUAAUAUUUUGAACCGCAUGGUUCAAAAGUGAAAGACGGUCUUGCUGUCACUUAUAGAUGGAUCCGCGCUGCAUUAGCUAGUUGGUAAGGUAACGGCUUACCAAGGCAACGAUGCAUAGCCGACCUGAGAGGGUGAUCGGCCACACGGGAGCUGAGACACGGUCCAGGCUCCUACGAGAGGCAGCAGUAGGGAAUCUUCCGCAGUGGGCGAAAGCCUGACGGAGCAACGCCGCGUGAGUGAUGAAGGUCUUCGGAUCGUAAAGCUCUGUUAUUAGGGAAGAACAUAUGUGUAAUUAGCUGUGCACAUCUUGACGGUACCUAAUCAGAAAGCCACGGCUAACUACGUG
This 497-nucleotide ribosomal RNA is filed under the name uncultured bacterium. RNAcentral describes it as "partial 16S ribosomal RNA". It matches the Rfam family "Bacterial small subunit ribosomal RNA", at positions 28 to 507 of the family's 1533-position model. The record is from RNAcentral.